This 467-nucleotide ribosomal RNA is filed under the name uncultured Alphaproteobacteria bacterium. RNAcentral describes it as "bacterial SSU rRNA". It matches the Rfam family "Bacterial small subunit ribosomal RNA", at positions 151 to 653 of the family's 1533-position model. The record is from RNAcentral. Lineage: Bacteria; Pseudomonadati; Pseudomonadota; Alphaproteobacteria.
GGGAAACUUGUGCUAAUACCGGAUGUGCCCUUCGGGGGAAAGAUUUAUCGCCAUUGGAGCGGCCCGCGUUGGAUUAGGUAGUUGGUGGGGUAAUGGCCCACCAAGCCGACGAUCCAUAGCUGGUCUGAGAGGAUGAUCAGCCACACUGGGACUGAGACACGGCCCAGACUCCUACGGGAGGCAGCAGUGGGGAAUCUUGCGCAAUGGGCGAAAGCCUGACGCAGCCAUGCCGCGUGAAUGAUGAAGGUCUUAGGAUUGUAAAAUUCUUUCACCGGGGAAGAUAAUGACGGUACCCGGAGAAGAAGCCCCGGCUAACUUCGUGCCAGCAGCCGCGGUAAUACGAAGGGGGCUAGCGUUGUUCGGAAUUACUGGGCGUAAAGGGCGCGUAGGCGGACAGUUAAGUCAGAGGUGAAGCCCAGGGCUCAACCUUGGAAUUUCCUUUGAUACUGGCUGUCUUGAGUUCGGGA